Molecule: ribosomal RNA, 217 nt
Filed under: uncultured Rhodocyclaceae bacterium
Lineage: Bacteria; Pseudomonadati; Pseudomonadota; Betaproteobacteria; Rhodocyclales; Rhodocyclaceae
Description: partial 16S ribosomal RNA
Rfam family: Bacterial small subunit ribosomal RNA
Source: RNAcentral
GGAGGAAGGUGGGGAUGACGUCAAGUCCUCAUGGCCCUUAUGGGUAGGGCUUCACACGUCAUACAAUGGUCGGUACAGAGGGUUGCAACCCGCGAGGGGGAGCUAAUCCCACAAAGCCGAUCGUAGUCCGGAUCGCAGUCUGCAACUCGACUGCGUGAAGUCGGAAUCGCUAGUAAUCGUGGAUCAGCAUGUCACGGUGAAUACGUUCCCGGGUCUU